AUAACUGUUAUACUUUGCAUCGGUGUUUCAUAGAAACUCCCAAUAAAAUACACAAAAGAUUAGAAUGACAAAACGUGAAAAGUUCAAAAUGAAGAAUGUUUGCAAGGCAAAGGUGUUCAUUGUUUUUUUUUUUUUUAACUUGUCAAUUGUUUCGACUCUUUGUCAUGUUUUACGUUGUGCAUGUGGUUGACACCUGUGAUGGAAAAGAUAGACCAUGUCAUAUCCACGGACUGGGUGUGGUGUGGUAGUGUGCUGUGUCUCUUUUCUUCCCCUCCUUUCUGCACAGGGUGUGGCGGGCAGGUGCUGCCGCACAGCUGAUCUCCAUCAGAGCGCAAUCAGAGGAGCUUUAAGAGGAGUUGGAACCUGGAGGGAGACGUCAGCCCGUUGUCGCUAUCUGUGUGACCUUGUUAAAGGAAGCCGUUCGUGAUUCUGGAGUUCCAGCCUGCUCGUGUUUGCUCAGUCGUACUUCAAAACUCCUGCUAGACGUCCGGCUGUAAGUCUCCGCUCCGGGUCCGACCCACACAGCCCUGCUGCCCGUACAGCGUUGAGGAUUCCGCCCACCUGCCUGUCCACCCUCCAACGGCACCCUCCUCGACCGCAGAAAGGAUUCCUCCCAGGAAAAGAAGCCGCUGCACUCGUACAUCUACCCACUGCCGGUCCCAGCUCCGUGACAAACACGCCCCCCUCCCGGAAAUCCCAGUCACGGAUCCAUGAAGAUCCAGAGCUCAUGCCGAUUCGGUCUGCCUCAAAACCUGCAAUUGUUUUCCACAGCAAUAAACUCUUUCAAACGCCCUCUGUUGUCCUCGUGGCUGGGUCCCCUUUAAGAGUCUCAGAAAUGGCCGUUAUGACACACCAGAGACAAUUUGGCCCUCUCAUUUAAAUGAAGAAAAUGUAAGACGUGAUGUCUUCCAGAAAGCAAGGAGCCAGUUUGGACUAUUUGGGCUCCGUAUCAGAUGAGUCAAAGAAACCGGUGAAGCAACAGAAAUCAUAUGUAGGAAUCCACACUGAUUUACUGUCAGCAGAGAGGUUCUUUCAUCUUGUUUGCUCUGACAGCGCCCUCUAUUGUCCUGUGUCCUCUACUCUGAAGCAUUUAUCUUUGCCCACAUCGGAGGAGGAGCUCCGAUCCGAAACUACAUUUUUUGUUUUAUUUACAAGCUUCAAAUAAAAAUCUAAACAUUUUUGCUCAAAAUGAGAGAAAUUCAAAAAUGUUGGGUUACUGUUGCAUUCUCAACCAAAUAAGACUGCAAGUUAAGGUCUUUAGAAGGAAAAACAGACAGAAUAUUUAAGAACAAAAUCAAUGUGCAAAAAAACAAAUAGUGCACCCCUGUUGCUGAUAUGCUUUAUAAAAAUGUCAGUUAACAUCUCA
Molecule: long non-coding RNA, 1366 nt
Organism: Girardinichthys multiradiatus
Lineage: Eukaryota; Metazoa; Chordata; Actinopteri; Cyprinodontiformes; Goodeidae
Exons: 2
Source: RefSeq, a predicted model, not a curated record